Molecule: non-coding RNA, 162 nt
Filed under: chicken gut metagenome
Source: RNAcentral
AUUCGGUGCCUGUCUGUCAGGUUGAAAAAAGGAAUCAGGUGAAAUUCCUGAACAGUCCCGCUGCUGUAAGAGAAAAGCUGCAUGGAUUUGCCACUGGUCCGCUGGGAAGGCCCAUGCCGCGCUGCGUUUGCUGAAUUCUCAAGUCAGAAUACUUGCCGAUGC